GCUGUCCUGAACCUGGCAUACAAUGUAGAUUUCUGUGUGGUACAAUCUACAGCUACAUUGUCUGCUGGGUUUCAGGCCGGCCCA
This is a microRNA precursor of Astyanax mexicanus (Mexican tetra), 84 nucleotides long. It matches the Rfam family "mir-221 microRNA precursor family". NCBI's taxonomy places the organism in Eukaryota, Metazoa, Chordata, Actinopteri, Characiformes, Acestrorhamphidae. The record is from Rfam.